RNAcentral lists this unclassified non-coding RNA (283 nucleotides) under plant metagenome. Its description in RNAcentral is "partial contains small subunit ribosomal RNA, internal transcribed spacer 1, and 5.8S ribosomal RNA". The stretch from base 235 to 283 matches the Rfam family "5.8S ribosomal RNA", at positions 1 to 49 of the family's 154-position model. The record is from RNAcentral.
UCUCCGUAGGUGAACCUGCGGAAGGAUCAUUAUUGUAUAACCGAGGUGCGAGGGCUGUCGCUGACCCGAAAGGUCGUGCACGCCCGAGUGCCCUCACACACAUCCAUCUCACCCCUAUGUGCACCACCGCGUGGGUCCCCCUUUGGCUUGUUCGGAGGGGGGCUUACGUUUUCACACAAACUUUGUAUGCAGUGUAGAAUGUAUUUUUUGUUUUUGCGAUCACGCAAUCAAUACAACUUUCAACAACGGAUCUCUUGGCUCUCGCAUCGAUGAAGAUCGCAGC